RNAcentral lists this ribosomal RNA (802 nucleotides) under Aureobasidium pullulans. Its description in RNAcentral is "eukaryotic LSU rRNA". The stretch from base 197 to 802 matches the Rfam family "Eukaryotic large subunit ribosomal RNA", at positions 1 to 615 of the family's 3401-position model. Lineage: Eukaryota; Fungi; Ascomycota; Dothideomycetes; Dothideales; Saccotheciaceae. The record is from RNAcentral.
CUUGGUAUUCCGAGGGGCAUGCCUGUUCGAGCGUCAUUACACCACUCAAGCUAUGCUUGGUAUUGGGUGUCGUCCUUAGUUGGGCGCGCCUUAAAGACCUCGGCGAGGCCACUCCGGCUUUAGGCGUAGUAGAAUUUAUUCGAACGUCUGUCAAAGGAGAGGAACUCUGCCGAUUGAAACCUUUAUUUUUCUAGGUUGACCUCGGAUCAGGUAGGGAUACCCGCUGAACUUAAGCAUAUCAAUAAGCGGAGGAAAAGAAACCAACAGGGAUUGCCCUAGUAACGGCGAGUGAAGCGGCAACAGCUCAAAUUUGAAAGCUAGCCUUCGGGUUCGCAUUGUAAUUUGUAGAGGAUGCUUUGGGUAAAACGCCAGUCUAAGUUCCUUGGAACAGGACGUCAUAGAGGGUGAGAAUCCCGUAUGUGACUGGAAAUGUUAACCUAUGUAAAGCUCCUUCGACGAGUCGAGUUGUUUGGGAAUGCAGCUCUAAAUGGGAGGUAAAUUUCUUCUAAAGCUAAAUAUUGGCGAGAGACCGAUAGCGCACAAGUAGAGUGAUCGAAAGAUGAAAAGCACUUUGGAAAGAGAGUUAAAAAGCACGUGAAAUUGUUGAAAGGGAAGCGCUUGCAAUCAGACUUGUUUAAACUGUUCGGCCGGUCUUCUGACCGGUUUACUCAGUUUGGACAGGCCAGCAUCAGUUUCGGCGGCCGGAUAAAGGCUCUGGGAAUGUGGCCUCCACUUCGGUGGAGGUGUUAUAGCCCAGUGUGUAAUACGGCCAGCCGGGACUGAGGUCCGCGCUCGGCUAGGA